RNAcentral lists this unclassified non-coding RNA (167 nucleotides) under uncultured Helotiales. Its description in RNAcentral is "sequence contains ITS1". The record is from RNAcentral. Lineage: Eukaryota; Fungi; Ascomycota; Leotiomycetes; Helotiales.
CCGAGUUCAUGCCCUCACGGGUAGAUCUCCCACCCUAUGUUAUCAUUACCUUCGUUGCUUUGGCGGGCCGUCAGGCUUCGGCUAGGCUAUCGGCUCCGGCUGGUAAGCGCCCGCCAGAGGACCCAAACCCUAAAUGUCAGUGUCGUCUGAGUACUUUAUAAUAGUUA